Molecule: ribosomal RNA, 253 nt
Filed under: uncultured bacterium
Lineage: Bacteria
Description: partial 16S ribosomal RNA
Rfam family: Bacterial small subunit ribosomal RNA
Source: RNAcentral
UACGGAGGGGGCUAGCGUUGUCCGGAUUCAUUGGGCGUAAGGAGCGUGUAGGCGGCCAGGUAGGUCGGUUGUGAAAACUGGAGGCUCAACCUUCAGAGGUCGACCGAAACCAUCUGGCUAGAGUCCGGGAGAGGAGAGUGGAAUUCCUGGUGUAGCGGUGAAAUGCGCAGAUAUCAGGAAGAACACCCGUGGCGAAAGCGGCUCUCUGGAACGGUACUGACGCUGAGACGCGAAAGCGUGGGGAGCAAACAGG